GAUGAACGCGGGCGGCGUGCUUAACACAUGCAAGUCGAACGGGAUCCAAGAAGUGCUUGCACUUUUUGGUGAGAGUGGCGAACGGGUGAGUAACACGUGAGUAACCUGUCCUUUUCUUUGGGAUAAGCUUCCGAAAGGGUGUUUAAUACCUUAUGUUCUGUCUGCCUCGCAUGGGGUGGGUGGGAAAGAUUUUUUCGGUAAAGGGUGGGCUCGCGGUCUAUCAGCUUGUUGGUGGGGUGAUGGCCUACCAAGGCUUUGACGGGUAGCCGGCCUGAGAGGGUGGUCGGUCACAUUGGGACUGAGAUACGGCCCAGACUCCUGCGGGAGGCAGCAGUGGGGGAUAUUGCACAAUGGGCGAAAGCCUGAUGCAGCGACGCCGCGUGGGGGAUGAAGGCCUUCGGGUUGUAAACUUCUUUUGCUCUGAACAAGGCGCACCGUGGGGUGUGUUGAGUGUAGGGGUUGAUUAGCGCCGGCUAACUACGUGCCAGCAGCCGCGGUAAUACGUAGGGCGCGAGCGUUGUCCGGAAUUAUUGGGCGUAAAGGGCUUGUAGGUGGCUGGUUGCGUCUGUCGUGAAAGCUCAUGGCUUAACUGUGGGUUUGCGGUGGGUACGGGCUGGCUUGAGUGCAGUAGGGGAGGCUGGAAUUCCUGGUGUAGCGGUGGAAUGCGCAGAUAUCAGGAGGAAUACCGGUGGCGAAGGCGGGUCUCUGGGCUGUUACUGACACUGAGGAGCGAAAGCAUGGGGAGCGAACAGG
RNAcentral lists this ribosomal RNA (753 nucleotides) under uncultured Varibaculum sp. RNAcentral describes it as "bacterial SSU rRNA". It matches the Rfam family "Bacterial small subunit ribosomal RNA", at positions 28 to 776 of the family's 1533-position model. The record is from RNAcentral. Lineage: Bacteria; Bacillati; Actinomycetota; Actinomycetes; Actinomycetales; Actinomycetaceae.